CGUUUAAAUUUUAUUCCUCCGCGAAUGAACGAAAGACUGAAACUUCUUUUCUUUUUUUUCUUUUUUUUUUUUUGAUUUACGAAGAGAAAGAUGUCGAAUUAAAUCGAUUGAUUAACGAAAUAUCUGCAUCUCGCAUUUUCAUUGUCACAAAUUAACGCGUGUAACGUAUCUCGACAAUAAAACCAGCUUCGACAACGCUUGUGUGUCAAGCUCGUCUUGGCUUUUAUUCAUUACACUAUCGUGUUGAUAAAUUCGAUCGUUUAUGAGAUUAAUUGGUUUUCGUUGGGUCAAUGGCUUGUGCAAGCGUAUCGACGUGGUCUGGAAUACUCGAUGACCCAGUUCAUAGUCCGUUAUUUCGAUUAGACUUUUUACUAUCGAUACUAAUAUUAAAACCAUGGCGUCGAGUGUAACAUAUUAUUAUUAUUAUUGUGAAAUAACAAAAAAUAUAUAUAUAAACUUUAAAAAUAUGAGAUGCACGAUGUAUCUAAUCAACUUUAAAAUUACGAUUAUCGAAUUUAUAUGCAAAUACAUAUAAGCAUACGUAAUAAGUAUAAAUCCAUCACCCACAAUGAACAAUAUCAACAUGCAUCACCACCAUUCGUUCGUUAUCUGUUGAGAAGAGCGAUUUGUACGACUGUCGUCAAUCUUUCGGUAUUCAUACAUGGGUAAUAUAAAUGGUAAACUGGUAUUGUUUGUUGUGGUGUGUUUAUUUUCAAAACGUAAUAAUCGCAGGGAAGAUAUUGGUUGUAUACAAUUACAGCAAGGCAAAGUGUGCGCCUACAACGAAGAGAGAGCCAAUUUCCUUUCCUGGUCUGGUCUGGAACCAGGGUGACUUAAGUCCGUCGAUGAUUACAGAACGACGAGGCUUUAAUUUAAUCCUCCGUAGUUUUUUAGGGUCGUAAACGAAACCGGUUGCAUCCAACUGGAAUAUACAUAGAGCUAGAACCGUACACGUUCGCAUAAAGAUGUUCCUUUCCGGCUGAGAAAUACCUGAAGGGAUCUCGUCCAGUCCAGUUCGAGUGGAACCAGCGCGGUUCGAGAAUUUACGAACGCGUACGACUCUUUUCGUAAAGUGGAAAAAUAAUUUUGAUAAAUUGUUAAAAAUGAUGGUAAUCGCGACGAAUGAGAGGAAAAAAUAUUCGAUUCUUGAAAUUAUCAAGGUUAGGUUUGACAAGGCAUCAAUUUAUGACGGAUCGAUCAAAGUGAACGAUGACAGUAAUAUAUAAUAAUUAUUAUCCAUAAGACAAUGGUUUUGUAUAUAAUAUAAUGCUCAGACGAAACCGGUUUCCAGGUAGAUUUAUUCCUUAUCAAAACGAAAUGAGUAAUUCUUGCUUGCUACGCAGAAUUCUAGUUGAUCAUUCUAGCCAAUAUACUUUUUUUUUCCCCCAUUCUCGAAGAGAGGAAAAGAAAAGGAAGAAAGGAAAAAGAAAGAAAGCAAGAUAAAUGUUAACCUGAACGACCCAGUAAACCAGAAAUCUAACUGUGUCAACAGGCAAGAUUAUGCACGCAUACGCAUCCGGCAAUAUAGUUUCUAGUAACCCGUCACUUACGCCCUUCUUCGAUACACAUAUAUGCAUAAGCGGAAAAGGGGACGUGGAUCGAUGAUUAUAACACGUAACAUAGUGGUGAUUAGAUGGUAUGUACAAUGUAUUGUAAAAUGGAAAGUGACGUAAUAUAAUCUCAAAUAUAAAUCCUAUAUUCUCGUGUCCUUUGUUCGCAGAAGAAUUGUGAAGCGGUUGGAUCUUCUAAAUCUUGUCUCAAUUUUGCUCUUAAUCCUUAAUCCUUCUUUCAAUUUGAUCGUAACGAGUUGUAAAUGUUAAGUGACGAAUGGAGGAAAUGUUUUGAUGGUCGUGCUCUGGAUUCAGGUUAUGUUCAGUUAACUGUUAAUCAUAGCCGUAACUUCGUCGUUUCUGAAAUUGAUGGAAAUAUACAAGAUGAGUGAGGCUUAUGCUGGAAGGAGAUGCUAUAAAGUGAAAUUUAAAGUGAUUGAAAAAGAAAAUCAACGAAUCAAGUGCAAUACAAUUUCUAUUUCUCUAUUUGAGAAAUUUAUCAUAUACCACGGAAGAACAAUACCUUUCUGUCUGCAAGCUUGAUUAAGUGAAACAUGGAAAUAAAGAAAAUUUUCUACA
This is a long non-coding RNA of Apis mellifera (honey bee), 2129 nucleotides long. RefSeq lists it as uncharacterized. The transcript has 3 exons. The record is from RefSeq and is a predicted model, not a curated record. NCBI's taxonomy places the organism in Eukaryota, Metazoa, Arthropoda, Insecta, Hymenoptera, Apidae.